GACGAACGCUGGCGGCGUGCUUAACACAUGCAAGUCGAACGAAGAGCGACGGAAGCUUGCUUCUAUCAAUCUUAGUGGCGAACGGGUGAGUAACGCGUAAUCAACCUGCCCUUCAGAGGGGGACAACAGUUGGAAACGACUGCUAAUACCGCAUACGAUCUAAUCUCGGCAUCGAGGAUGGAUGAAAGGUGGCCUCUACAUGUAAGCUAUCACUGAAGGAGGGGAUUGCGUCUGAUUAGCUAGUUGGAGGGGUAACGGCCCACCAAGGCGAGGAUCAGUAGCCGGUCUGAGAGGAUGAACGGCCACAUUGGGACUGAGACACGGCCCAGACUCCUACGGGAGGCAGCAGUGGGGAAUCUUCCGCAAUGGACGAAAGUCUGACGGAGCAACGCCGCGUGAGUGAUGACGGCCUUCGGGUUGUAAAGCUCUGUUAAUCGGGACGAAAGGCCUUCUUGCGAAUAGUGAGAAGGAUUGACGGUACCGGAAUAGAAAGCCACGGCUAACUACGUG
This 510-nucleotide ribosomal RNA is filed under the name uncultured bacterium. RNAcentral describes it as "partial 16S ribosomal RNA". It matches the Rfam family "Bacterial small subunit ribosomal RNA", at positions 28 to 507 of the family's 1533-position model. The record is from RNAcentral.